GAGUUUGAUCCUGGCUCAGAUUGAACGCUGGCGGCAUGCCUUACACAUGCAAGUCGAACGGCAGCAUGAUCUAGCUUGCUAGAUUGAUGGCGAGUGGCGAACGGGUGUGUAAUACAUCGGAACGUGCCCUGUAGUGGGGGAUAACUAGUCGAAAGAUUAGCUAAUACCGCAUACGACCUGAGGGUGAAAGUGGGGGACCGCAAGGCCUCAUGCUAUAGGAGCGGCCGAUGUCUGAUUAGCUAGUUGGUGGGGUAAAGGCCCACCAAGGCGACGAUCAGUAGCUGGUCUGAGAGGACGAUCAGCCACACUGGGACUGAGACACGGCCCAGACUCCUACGGGAGGCAGCAGUGGGGAAUUUUGGACAAUGGGCGAAAGCCUGAUCCAGCAAUGCCGCGUGUGUGAAGAAGGCCUCGG
This 415-nucleotide ribosomal RNA is filed under the name uncultured microorganism. RNAcentral describes it as "bacterial SSU rRNA". It matches the Rfam family "Bacterial small subunit ribosomal RNA", at positions 9 to 420 of the family's 1533-position model. The record is from RNAcentral.